RNAcentral lists this ribosomal RNA (899 nucleotides) under Bacteroides xylanisolvens. Its description in RNAcentral is "partial 23S ribosomal RNA". It matches the Rfam family "Bacterial large subunit ribosomal RNA", at positions 2049 to 2925 of the family's 2925-position model. Lineage: Bacteria; Pseudomonadati; Bacteroidota; Bacteroidia; Bacteroidales; Bacteroidaceae. The record is from RNAcentral.
CGCUGUGAAGAUGCAGUGUACCCGCGGCAAGACGGAAAGACCCCGUGAACCUUUACUAUAGCUUGACACUGAACAUUGAGCCUUGAUGUGUAGGAUAGGUGGGAGGCUUUGAAGUGUGGACGCCAGUCUGCAUGGAGCCGACCUUGAAAUACCACCCUUUAAUGUUUGAUGUUCUAACGUUGGCCCCUAAUCGGGGUUGCGGACAGUGUCUGGUGGGUAGUUUGACUGGGGCGGUCUCCUCCUAAAGAGUAACGGAGGAGCACGAAGGUUGGCUAAUCCUGGUCGGACAUCAGGAGGUUAGUGCAAUGGCAUAAGCCAGCUUGACUGCGAGCGUGACGGCGCGAGCAGGUGCGAAAGCAGGUCAUAGUGAUCCGGUGGUUCUGAAUGGAAGGGCCAUCGCUCAACGGAUAAAAGGUACUCCGGGGAUAACAGGCUGAUACCGCCCAAGAGUUCAUAUCGACGGCGGUGUUUGGCACCUCGAUGUCGGCUCAUCACAUCCUGGGGCUGAAGUAGGUCCCAAGGGUAUGGCUGUUCGCCAUUUAAAGUGGUACGCGAGCUGGGUUUAGAACGUCGUGAGACAGUUCGGUCCCUAUCUGCCGUGGGCGCUGGAGAACUGAGGGGGGCUGCUCCUAGUACGAGAGGACCGGAGUGGACGCAUCACUGGUGUUCGGGUUGUCAUGCCAAUGGCACUGCCCGGUAGCUAAAUGCGGAAGAGAUAAGUGCUGAAAGCAUCUAAGCACGAAACUUGCCCCGAGAUGAGUUCUCCCUGACUCCUUGAGAGUCCUGAAGGAACGUUGAAGACGACGACGUUGAUAGGCCGGGUGUGUAAGCGCAGCGAUGCGUUGAGCUAACCGGUACUAAUGAACCGUGAGGCUUAACCUUACAACGCCGAAGCUGUU